UUGUGCAAUAUUUGGUUCAUAUUAUUGAUAAGAUAUUUUUGUUAAGGUUAUCUUGACAAUUAUUGGCAUGCAGCUAUCAGGAAGAAGUUACCAACAUCAAUAGCUUUCAUCUUUGUGACAAACUAAUAAUCUACACAAGAGACAAAUGGCUAUGCCUGCAAUUAAGGAUAACCAAAUUACAUAUAAGUGCUAGUGGGACAAAUGAUGAUAUAGAAUUCCUAAACAUCAUCAUUUGCAACUGCAUUUUGUUUACUUCCAACUUAUGAAGAAUAAUCUUAUUUGCAAAUGAUGAUGGGAGGCAGCAUAUAUACCAGUUACUGCUGAUAAUCUCACUGCACAAAACACAAACAAACAAACAUGGAGCGAGACUUAUAAAUUGGAUCAUAAUUUAAGCACCUAUAUUCGAUUCCGGAUCUACCCAUGGAGGGUGUAUGUGAGAGACAGAGAGAAACCAUGGUUAGAUCUGAAAUAAUAAACCCAAAAGUAACGGUCGUCGAUAUGAAUUUGUGUGUUUGAAAAGCAAGUAUGAACGCAAAAGAAUACCUGACGAGGUCCAUUUGUGUGGUGAGAGAAGAAACCAUGCCAAAUCUGAAAUAAUAAUAAACCCAAAAAUGCAUUUAUUCACAUAUCCGUGUUAGGGUUUGGCGAUGGUGGUUUAGAGCAGAGAAACAGAGGGAGAGAAGAAACCAUUUGGUAACAGUUUUCAAAUAAAUGGUUGGAGGGGUAAACAAAGAGCUGGUGGGCUGUCCGGAAUACUAUGCAUUAAGGGUUGUAAAUUUUUAAGAUUUUAAGACAUUUUAUGCUCAAGAGGCUUCUAAUUAUGUAUAAAUUCAUAUGAUGAAGUUAGCAACUUAAACUAUAUCUAAAAAUGUUAUUGUACUAAAAUAACAACUUACAUCGCAAACGAAAUGAAUCGAAUUGAUAUUGGGUUCGGUUGAACCAAUCUUUUAUGGUGAAAAAUACGAAUGAAAUGGUUAUUUCCAGGAUCAACA
RNAcentral lists this long non-coding RNA (992 nucleotides) under Lactuca sativa (garden lettuce). RNAcentral's name for it is "long non-coding RNA (LSAT_LNC002307)". Lineage: Eukaryota; Viridiplantae; Streptophyta; Magnoliopsida; Asterales; Asteraceae. The record is from RNAcentral.